RNAcentral lists this ribosomal RNA (415 nucleotides) under uncultured beta proteobacterium. RNAcentral describes it as "bacterial SSU rRNA". It matches the Rfam family "Bacterial small subunit ribosomal RNA", at positions 9 to 429 of the family's 1533-position model. The record is from RNAcentral. Lineage: Bacteria; Pseudomonadati; Pseudomonadota; Betaproteobacteria.
GAGUUUGAUCCUGGCUCAGAUUGAACGCUGGCGGAAUGCUUUACACAUGCAAGUCGAGCGGCAGCGCGGGGCAACCUGGCGGCGAGCGGCGAACGGGUGAGUAAUGCAUCGGAACAUGUCCUGUCGUGGGGGAUAGCCCGGCGAAAGCCGGAUUAAUACCGCAUACGUCCGAGAGGAGAAAGUGGGGGACCGCAAGGCCUCACGCGAUUGGGUUGGCCGAUGUCCGAUUAGCUAGUUGGUGAGGUAAAGGCUCACCAAGGCGAUGAUCGGUAGCUGGUCUGAGAGGAUGAUCAGCCACACUGGGACUGAGACACGGCCCAGACUCCUACGGGAGGCAGCAGUGGGGAAUUUUGGACAAUGGGGGCAACCCUGAUCCAGCCAUUCCGCGUGAGUGAAGAAGGCCUUCGGUUGUAAG